AGUCGUAACAAGGUAGCCGUAGGGGAACCUGCGGCUGGAUCACCUCCUUAACGAAAGAUUGACGAUUGGUAAGAAUCCACAACAAGUUGUUCUUCAUAGAUGUAUCUGAGGGUCUGUAGCUCAGUUGGUUAGAGCACACGCUUGAUAAGCGUGGGGUCACAAGUUCAAGUCUUGUCAGACCCACCAUGACUUUGACUGGUUAAAGUUAUAGAUAAAAGAUACAUGACUGAUGAUGUAAGCUGGGGACUUAGCUUAGUUGGUAGAGCGCCUGCUUUGCACGCAGGAGGUCAGGAGUUCGACUCUCCUAGUCUCCACCAGAACUUAAGAUAAGUUCGGAUUACAGAAAUUAGUAAAUAGAGAUUUCGGUCUUGGUUUAUUAACUUCUGUGAUUUAAGUAUCACGGUAUUAAGCAUGACCUGACGAAGGCGUGUUUAUUCAUUAACAGAUUGGCAAAAUUGAGUCUGAAAUAAAUUGUUCACUCAAGAGUUUAGAUUAAGCAAUUAAUCUGAAUGAAUUGAGAACUAGCAAAUUAACUGAAUCAAGCGUUUUGGUAUAUGAAUUUAGAUUGAAGCUGUACAGUGUUUAAAUACACAGUGCUCUAAACUGAAAUGUUGAAGUUACUAACUUGUAGGUAACGUCGACUGUUUGGGGUUGUAUAGUCAAGUAAUUAAGUGCAUGUGGUGGAUGCCUUGGCAC
This 696-nucleotide unclassified non-coding RNA is filed under the name Acinetobacter nosocomialis. Its description in RNAcentral is "partial contains 16S ribosomal RNA, 16S-23S ribosomal RNA intergenic spacer, and 23S ribosomal RNA". The stretch from base 110 to 183 matches the Rfam family "tRNA". The record is from RNAcentral. Lineage: Bacteria; Pseudomonadati; Pseudomonadota; Gammaproteobacteria; Moraxellales; Moraxellaceae.